CUGUCCCAAUAAUUGUAAGCUUUUAUUUAUCUAAUUCAAGUACACACGCUAAUACAUUGCUACUUAAUUGGUGCUUAUUUCCAUAGUUUUUCUAUUUGUGCCAAUCCUUCUUCGGCUUUAUAUAAUAUUGCCUCCUCUAGAAGCUUUUAUGUCUUUUUAUGAUAGACAAAUUUUAUUUUCUUGCUAUUUAAUGCAUGUAGGGAAUUGCAUGGAGAAACUUUUGG
RNAcentral lists this unclassified non-coding RNA (224 nucleotides) under Hevea brasiliensis (rubber tree). Lineage: Eukaryota; Viridiplantae; Streptophyta; Magnoliopsida; Malpighiales; Euphorbiaceae. The record is from RNAcentral.